AUGGUGGCCAUGGCGAGGCCGGCGGGGUCGCGCCACUAAGUGUUGCGCUUGGGGCGCGCCGUGACUCAGGUGGAGAUCAGGACUGCGUACCGCUCUUUGGCCAAGCGCCUCCACCCCGACAUCGCCUCCUGCGGCCACGGGGGUCCCGAGGCGUUCCUGGAGAUCCGAAGAGCGUACGAGAUGCUGUCGGACCUUGCCGCCAGGGCGCGCUACGACAGCUCGCUCGGGGUGUUCCGCAGCGGGGGCGCAGGCGGCGUGAUGCCGGUGCGGAGGUGGGAGACGGACCAGUGCUGGUGA
Molecule: ribosomal RNA, 297 nt
Filed under: Triticum aestivum (bread wheat)
Lineage: Eukaryota; Viridiplantae; Streptophyta; Magnoliopsida; Poales; Poaceae
Description: partial small subunit ribosomal RNA
Source: RNAcentral